GGGUGCGGAGGGUACGCGGUUAGCGACCUGCGCGUGGAAUAGGAUUGCGCGUGCGCGUCAUCGGCGGCUCGCCAUUUGACACCCGACACAUCUCCUUCCCCUUCCUCGUAGGGCUCGCUACACCUUCGUUUGUUCUAGCCAGGGCCGCGCCGACUUUCGCAGCAACCUCCGGCGGCUCUCCCCCGAUGGAUCCGGAGGUGGUCGGCGUCGGCGGCGACGGCAGGGGUGGAUCGAGGCGGCGUCUUUCCUGCCUCCUCGCCCGAAGAUGACAGGUAACCCGGGAUUUCGAUCCAUCCUUUGGGGAUUUUUGUUGGGGGAAUGGAACCGCUGAGUUGAGUCGAUUCAGUAAAGAUAGCCAUUCUGCAGCACCGGUGAUGUUCGUGCUUCGGAUUUCAGUGCAAAAGCUUCUAUGCCUGGGCUAAUAAUAUGCAUCACCCUUAGGUUUGUUUGUAGGUAGGCAUUGCCAUUGCUGCACAAAGAGACACUCCAACCUGAAAUGUACUGCACUUCACAAUUCAUUGGCAUGAGCAGGAAGUCGUCACUAGAAAUUAGCAACCGAGGUGAGCGCGUACGAUUCGGCGUCACGAUAUGCAAAUUAAUUAGCCAUCUGCUUUUGCUGUUUGAAGAUGAGUAGAUAGAUUGUCUUCCUUUCUUGCCAUGUUUGACCAAAGGUAUGUGUGUAUGUGUGUGUCGAACAAAACGCGCCCCCUAAGACACUAAGUGAAUCAGCGGCACAAAGACACAUCGAGCAGGAUAUGCCAUAGGUGUGUUUCUGUCAAACGAAUCGAUCCUUCAAACGAGGUCAGCUUCGGGGAUUUUACCACUGCGUUGAAUCGAUUCAGUGCAUAUGCCAAAUAUAUAGGCCAUGUGUGUUUAUGAUUAUGAUUUCUGUACAAAGGCUUGAUUAUGUGGUUGGAUGAAUAAUCAUAAUCUUAGCCUACCACCCUUUUAUUUCUCUACGCAAAGGCAAACGCCAACCUGAAAUGUACUCUACCUCACAGUUCGUCAUCAACAACUGAGGUGUAUGCUUAUGAUUCAACAUUACAAUAUAAACACUAAUUAGUCAUCUUUUACUGACAUGAGUAGAUUGUCUUCCGUUCAUGCCAUCUUUAACCAAAGUCCAAAGGUUUGUGUGUGUUUCUGUCAGAACUUUAGUGUUAAAAAAACAGAGUGAGCUCCCUCAGCAAAGCAGCAGCACAGAAAAACACAUCAUGCAGGAUGAUACUAUCUGCCCUGUAGAGAAGACAUUGUCACAUCAUUAGCACUAGGUGGCUCUUCCUCCGUAACCGAAAUACGCUGGAUGCUUAGGUUCAGGCAGGGCCAUAGUUUCGCUGCUUAGCAUCGCAACCACACUUGUUGUGCUGGGUCUGUCAACCGCAUUCUCUUGCACACAGAGCAGUGCGAUGUUGAUACACCUCAUUGUCUCUAACAUGUCAGACUCUGAAACUAUUGAUUCAUCGACGAACUCCAGCCAUCUUUCCUCUUUCCACAACUUCCAUGCCUAGCAAGAGCAUAGAGACAUAUUAAAUAAGGUUUUUAGAUAAUCAAAUAAUUUUGAAAAUUGGAUACAAAAAAUACUUACAUAUCCAAGAAGGUUGAAGAAGUCCCCAUUUUGAUGGAAACACGAGUUUCUUUUUCCAUUGAUGAUCUCGAGAAUCAGCACACCAAAGCUGAAUACAUCAGAUUUGAUUGAGAAGAGACCCUCUGAAGCAUACUCGGGAGCCAUAUACCCACUGAAAAGGCAGGGAAAACAAAACUUCUAUCUCAGUUUUUUAUUUGGCUGACUUAUGCAGGAUGGACUAAUUUGUAAGAAGAGCUUACUAUGUCCCAGCAAUCCUUUUUGUGUUCCCUUCAGUAUCAUUUGAACUGAAUAUUUUUGCAAGCCCAAAAUCUGAUAUUUUGGGAUUCAUUUCAAUGUCCAAAAGGAUGUUGCUUGCUUUAAGAUCUCUAUGUAUGACACGUAAUCGAGAGUGUUUAUGCAAAUAUAGAAGUCCUUGUGCGAUCCCUUCGAUAAUCGCUUUUCUUUUGUUCCAUUCCAAUAAAGCCUUUUUAGUUUCAUCUGCACACAAGUUAAUGAUAUAUGUAUAUUAGAUGGGGAGGAAGGUUGUGGGGAUAAUUUUAGUAGAUAGAGUUAACCCAUAAUCUGUAACAGGAAACUACAAGGAGUAAUACCAAAGAUAAAGAAAUCCAAGCUUUUAUUUGCCAAAUAUUCAUAGAUUAAUAUUUUCUCUUCUCCUUGAGAGCAACAUCCCAAUAGCCUAACCAAAUUUGUGUGCUGGAGCUUGGCUAUGAGUUGGACUUCAUUUUUAAACUCUGUGAAACCCUGCCCAGACUGCGAAGCUAGUCUCUUAAUUGCUAUUUCCAAACCUUCAGGAAGCUGGCCCUGUGGAGGUUUAAAAGAGCUUGAUCAGUGAUAUCAUCUUGCGAAAUAGAAGCGGUUUACUCAUCUUCUGAUCGGUAACCCCCCAUGCUUGUGAGUAAAAUUAAAGCUACAUGUAUAAAAUCCACUAGGUCGUACAAAUUAGUGAUCGAUGCAAACUAGGUUCAAUUUUUGUUCUCUUUGUGUACAUGGAUAAAUGUGUUCUUUUACCUUGUAUACUGGGCCAAAGCCACCUUGCCCCAAUUUAUUUUCAUCUGAGAAGUUACUCGUAGCAUCUGAUAGUUGUGAAAAGUUAAAAAGCUUGAGCUCCGAACUCCUCCCUAUCCCCCAGACUAGCUCUUCAUCUUCCUGAGAGCUCACUUUACCAAAUUCCAAAAAUCAGAGUUUAUGUAAUCCUUUCAGGUAAGCGAAUAUAUAUGAAUCUAAACAGCCUAAGAGAUUUGUGAGUACAGCAACAUUUCCAUAACUAACCUUUAAUGUUCCUUUUGAAUAGUUUAAACCAUACGAAGAAGCACAAAAAUGAUGCUAGUAGAAGCAUAGCAGUGGUAAUGAUCCAUACCUUUAUUAUAUGCCCUAAAACGAAAGAUUUCAGACAAACAUAGGUGGUUAGUUGAUUAGACAAAUCAACCAAUGUAACUACACUAUAAACUUUGGUAUUUAUGUUUUGAGGAAUAUUCUAACAUAUUAUAACCUCUUGUUGCAGAAGUUCACUUUUCAACCUUAAGAUCUGAAACCAGUUGUUUUUAACCUUGAAAGAUUGAAUCUGUUCACUAUAGCCCUUUGGCCCUAUCCCAAGCGGUUUUGAGCUGAUUUGGAUGACAUGUGGUAGACACGUAGCAUCACUUCUGCACGGCAGCCCCUUGCCAUGUUUGCAGCUCAAGUGAAGAUUAAAAAAAUACGAAACAUUUAUAAAAAAAUGCAAAAAACCAGGGAAAUCAGAAAAUAGUAUUGUGAGAAUUAGUUUCUCUGUUUUUUUGUACUCAAGCUACCGAGAUUGGAUUUUGCUGACGUAUAGAGGUACAGCAUGUGUCUUCUGAGUCAGCUAAAACAACUUGGAACAGGGCCAAUGGGGUAAAUUGAACGGAUUCAACAGUUCAAGGUGGAGCACAACCGGUUUUGGAUGUUAAGGGAAAUACAAACUUUUGUAAUAGUUUAGUGUUGAAAAAUGGACAUUUUCUGCAUGUUAUAAAGAAUAUUUCAACAUAUAAUAUAGUCUAAGGCUGCAUCGCAAGCAUGGUUGUUGAAUUAAAGCGUUGAUCAAAGGGUAGCUGUCACCCCACCCAGGUAAAUUAAUUAUGUCUUCCAGAACCAUCAAAAUUGAUUUGCGGUCAUUAGAUCUAUAUGGGUGAAUUAAUUAUGUCUUUCAGAAUCAUCGAAAUUGGUUUGCGGUCAUUAGAUCUAUAUGGGUGUUAUGUCUUUCAGAAUCAUCGAAAUUGAUUUGCGGUCAUUAGAUCUAGAGACUUAGAUCUAUAUUGAAAGGUGCUCUGUACCCAUAACCCCGCUCACUGUUCCAGCACAAAUCUACUCGUCAACUGGGUUCCCAUCAGACUCAAGCAUCGAGUUAAAUGAAGUUUUGGAGUAGUCAAUUUCAUCAAGCCUAAUGAUGCUUGAGUCUGAUGGGCACCAAGUUUGUAUUCAUAAGGAUGCUGCAGUAUAGUCAAUUUCUGUGUAAUAAAGAUGUGAUAGGAAUAAUAUGAAUACAAACAGGUAUAAGAUAUGGGAAAAAUGCUCUUUAGAAGAAGGAAAAAUGGAAGACAGACUAGUUUUGGGGAAAGAAAUAACAUAUUGUCUUACUCUUAUCUUUCUGCCUUGGAACACCAACCGGCCCUGGCGCCGGCAUGUUUGUUGUUGGAUCUACAACAUCUGACCAGCCGGUCUUCUUCGUGGGCUGGUCAUUGUAGAACUGAUACGUGCUGUACCUGAAAUUACACCAAACACCAGCAAUCCAUUCACCAUGUUGCUCGUGGAAGGAACCCCUUGCUGCGCUCCUGAUAUUGUCGAGGCAAUCCCAGCAGUCAUUUGGUCGUAGGUCCAGGUUGCACUGCGCCAUAGAGUACAGCAGCGGCAGUCCCUCGGAUAAAUCCAGGCGGCCGGUGGCGUACAUCAUUGUAGAGUUGUAGGCUGCCUGUUUGGCUGUCUCUUGGAGCAGCACCUUGAUGUUGCCAUCAAUGCUGGCGUCGGUGAAGUUGGUGAUCUCAAUGAAUUGAAUGCUGGGAUCCGUGGUGUCCCUAAAGAUCAGCAACCUGUGUAGCACAAAACUGGAGUUGUAGACAAGGUCCUCAGUGGAGACGUGGACGAUGCAGUCCCCAUACAAGAAAUGCAUGUCCAUUUGCGAUCCGCAGAGCCGCCAAGCAUCAUGGAACGCGGUGGUGAUGCAGCUGGAGCAUGCAGAUGCGAUGGUGUCGCCGGGGCACUGUGCGACGCCAUAAAUGGGGUCUUGGUCAGUUCGGACGAAGCCCUUGGGCUGGUUGGUUCCUGUGGAUGAGGCAUUCCUGGAUAGCACAGUAGAUAGGAGCUCAAGGUUAGCUUGGUAGGUGCUAUUAUAGGGGAUGCUGGUGUUGCAGAUCUGCUCCAGUGGAUCGCCGGCGGCAGCAAAUGGCUCGAAGCCGAGAAUGAGCAGUAAGACGAUGAACAUGGCUAUCCAAAAGGUUAUUCAGCCCAACCUCUGUAGCGUCUCCUUAUUAUCGGCAUCAUUUGGGAAACUUUCCCAGCUUAUGGUUUAACUGCUUACUUGAUUAUUAAUGAUUAAUGAUAACAUCUGCCUGCAGGCCGUGCAAUGAAGUUGCUUAGAAUACAAUGCUGCUGCCGUCCAGGCAUCAUCAGCCUGUGUAAUCCAAAUUAGUUGGUAGUACAAGUGAUACACGACAAGUGGAGAACAAAAAUUAGAAAAAGAACAAAUCCAGUUUCAGUGUUUCAGUCAAAGGAGAAGAGGUCUUAUUGCGACCUUGAACGAACAGCAAAAUCGAAGGUGAUUCUCUUGCGACUGCUUGGUAAGCUGUGGGCUAUCUGUUAGAAGCUGGAUCCAGAAAGAUUGUUUCCUAUACCGAAACGUUUUGAAAAUUAUGUAAGCUCCUUUCAUGCUGGCAUUUGUCAUGACAUUGAAGAUCUCAAGUAUGUAAACUUGAUUGGAAUUUUUUAUAUUAUGUAAUGUUGUUUGUAAACCAAGUUCGAUAUCUCGGCAGUUUGUUAACUAAGUUUUGACCGGCAUCGUUUGUUGUUUGUUUCUACUGAACUCUGUGGAUAGCCCUAAAACAAUAAUG
Molecule: long non-coding RNA, 5640 nt
Filed under: Triticum aestivum (bread wheat)
Lineage: Eukaryota; Viridiplantae; Streptophyta; Magnoliopsida; Poales; Poaceae
Description: long non-coding RNA (TAES_LNC017453)
Source: RNAcentral